Austrofundulus limnaeus is the source of this 2777-nucleotide long non-coding RNA. RefSeq lists it as uncharacterized. NCBI's taxonomy places the organism in Eukaryota, Metazoa, Chordata, Actinopteri, Cyprinodontiformes, Rivulidae. The transcript has 13 exons. The record is from RefSeq and is a predicted model, not a curated record.
AGACUUUAGAAAACACCAGCCGCCUGAAGCACAUCAUAGCUGCAUGUCAGGUUGUUACAGAGGACUCAAGGAGGACAAAAGAGUACUUUCAGAGGUUGGAAACGAGUUUCUGUAAGCAACAGAGAUGAGCAGAUAGGUGAGCGAUUUGAUGGACUCUCAGUUCUGCCUGAAAACCUCACAUCUCUCAUCAUUCAUGUGUUUAUUUGUAUUAUUUAUAGUCGGUGAAGCUGAUUAACUCUUGCUCAGUGAAGUGAUGGUCGUGUUUUUAAAGCUGCAGCAGAUCUCUUCUGUGAGCUUUCASUGAUGAGAUCAUACUUGUCAUAUAAACUCCACUGUAAACUAUACAUCCAGUCUCUCAGUGCACUUGAUCAAAGUCAGUUCCAGCUCAUUAUUAUGUAUAUUAAACCUAUAUUUGUUAAUGUUUACGUGUGUGUGUGUGCGUCUAGUUCAGCUGCAAGGUAACUUUCAACAAGUGCUAUUCCUGACUGUGUUUCUCACUUUGCAGCUGUCGAGUCUGUUUGUUUUGGAUUUACGUCUGCUGGCAAAGUGAGAGCAGUGUUGGCUGUCUUUGCCCUGGUGUUUCUGUGAAACACUUCUCCUGAUAAAUAGUUUUUUUAACGUGACUAUGUUUGGAAACAGACUGGGCCUGCUCGUCCACAUUGUAAUGCCCUAAAAAGUGGCAGAGUUGGCAGCGAGCGCAGUAAAGACACCAGCGGCUCAAUAUGCAAAAUAAAACCCUGAGGAUCAAAUUUCAAACCCGAAAAAAAGUAGCCUUAUUGAAAAAUGUUUUAAAUAAAUGUCAUGUAGUAUUCCUCCCCAAUCCAACAAGAUAUUUCAGUAUUUAGACUUUGAGAAACUGGCUAAACUGUUCGGAGGUAUGUUGUACAUGGAAAUCCAUCAUCCAGUCAGGCACAUUGUUGAGUCAAGUUUGUAUAAAGAAGCAGCUGCUUGUAUUUAAUUAUUUAUAUUGGUGUGAAAAGUAAGCACUGGGCUCUUUUUGUCCUCGUUAGAUCAACGUUUCGACAGGAAAAGCCUGCGUAACCGACGACACAGCGAAGCAAAUCCUGCAGAACUACCACCCGUUCGUGACCCAUCUCACGCUGCGCAUCUUUAAACUGCUCCAGCCUGAAGCAUAUCAGUGAAUGCAGGAAUCUGCAGGAACUCAACGUGUCGGAGUGUAUUAAUGUUACAGAUACAGGGGUUCAGAGGAUUACUGAGGGCUGCCACUGCCUGCUCUACCUGAAUCUUACCUGCACACUCAUCACAAACAACACUUUAAAAGAAAUAUCCAGGAAACAUAACGGACUUCAGUACCUGAGUCUGGCCUACUGCUGCAGAUUCACAGAUGAAGGGCUUCUGUAGCUGACCACAGGGACGGGCAGCUGCACUCUCACCCACCUCAACCUGUCGGGCUGCUCAGAUGAGAGUAAAUGGGUUCAGAUACAUUUCUGCUGGCUGCCCGUCACUCAGCUCGUGAUCAUCGACGUGCCCACUCAGUGGGCUGUGUUUUGGCUUUACUCUCCAGAUGUUGUUGUCUUUCCUCUCUCUCCUUGUUGGACGCCCCUUAUCCUUCUGACGUUGCUCUUAAAGCCGUUGCAGAAACAUCCAACCUGAGGGCUGUCAUUAUAGAAGCUCACAGACAUCUGCUGGAAAGCCCUCUGCAGACUUCAUGCUUCAGAACGCCCCAGAAUGACCAACGUCAGCCUGAGAUCUGUGUCCACCCUGGAAAAUCUACAAUACCUGGACAUCUCGUGGUGCAACAGCUUUGGAGUGGAUGAGUGGCAGUUCCACUGGAUUCAACAUUCAGGAUCAGGGACUCGCUAUGCUUGAGAGAAUUUGCCUGAAGAUGGUACUCGCUGAGUGCGUAUACAUCACUGAUAUCGGCAUAGAGAAGUUGUGCAAGAACGUGAGGGACCUGAAAGAGGUUGAUGUUUCUCACUUUGUAUCUCUGUCUGAUGGAGCAGUGAGAGCCUUUUCAUUUUACUGCAGAGGUCUGGUUGUGCUGCAGAUGGCAGGUUGUCCAAAGGUGACAGAUAUGGCAGUGCAGAAUCUGUCGAGCCAGUCCCCGUACCUGUGAGAGCUCAGUUACCUCACAGAUCGUUUUUCCCUUCGACACUUGAAAAGGACUUGUCCUCCUCUCGCCUGCAUCAGUAUGAGCUGCUGCAGCGGCAUCUCCAGAGCGACGCAUCUCGCAAUGGGAGCAGUGCACACCGGUUUGCCAACAAGAGAAAACUAAGCUGCUGACAGCGAGGUCCAUCAAGACUGAUGAUGUUUGGGAGGUAGAGAGGCACACAGCAGGUGCAUGUACUCAUAUCUAAUAUACUUUUUUUUUUUUUUACUGUAAUACUGGGAACAUACUGUAUUUUGAUUUUACACCCUCACACAAACAGCUGUUUUUGUGACAUUAUACACCAAUAUCUGUUCACAAAGCUUCAUGAUAACAUUAUUAAACUGACUGAACUAUAAUUUAAACCAUAAAAUGUUGCAGUUCAACCACUUUUUGAUACUUAUUUUAAUCGCUAUGGUUUUGACACAUUAACAAAUGUUUUGUCUAUGCACCUCCUGUGUGUUUUGCUCAUAAAAGGGACAAUUAACACCAGUUAUGUUUAAAAUUGUAAUUAUUCACUGACAAGAAUGUUUAAAUGAUUGACUUCCAUUAAGCAGAGUCUUAUUUUAUAAGUAAACAAUGUCACAGUUUGAGGCCAUCAAAUGCACAGUAACUGUAGAAAGAACAUAAAUAAAUUGUUACUCUGUUAAAAAUAAAAUUCUGUACAGAA